UCUUCCGACCUGGCAGGCGCGUCGUCGGGCGUCGCCGUUCGCGUUGCGGUAGUAGUGCGUCCACCUCCCGGUCGUUUCGGCCCGCACGGUUCCUCCGAGGGUGCUCUUCGCCGAGUGUCCGAGGCGGCCAGUA
RNAcentral lists this long non-coding RNA (133 nucleotides) under Octopus sinensis (East Asian common octopus). RNAcentral's name for it is "uncharacterized LOC118762450, transcript variant X1". The record is from RNAcentral. Lineage: Eukaryota; Metazoa; Mollusca; Cephalopoda; Octopoda; Octopodidae.